Long non-coding RNA from Triticum dicoccoides, 1321 nucleotides. RefSeq lists it as uncharacterized. The transcript has 5 exons. The record is from RefSeq and is a predicted model, not a curated record. Lineage: Eukaryota; Viridiplantae; Streptophyta; Magnoliopsida; Poales; Poaceae.
GUCUCAUUCGGAAUGGAGGGCGAGUGAAUUCGAGAAGCUGCUGCACUGCACUGCACAUGCACCGUACGUGCUGCAGCGCGCCAGGAGUGAAUGCUGCAACUUCCGUCGGUCGCCAAGUCGCCAUGUGUAUACGGUCACUACAACAAAAUAGGUAUGUAGGGACGUUUUUGUGUCGACGCUUUUAUCAACGUCUCAUUAUUUAAAAUCACUUGAUGCAUAGGGACGAUUUCUGAGGCGCAAAGGACAUCGUCCUUGGUUCCCAUAGAAAAAAAGGAUUCUGGUGGUUGAAAAUAUCUUGCGCCACAAGCCCACCACCACCACCCUAAUCCCCCAUCGUGCGAGAUGGCCCAAGAAAGUAACUACCAUGGAAAAAGGGUGCGAUCUCUGGCCUCUAAAACUAGCGCCGCCAUGCCACACCGCCGCUCUCUGCCAAGAUCCUGCUCCUCCUCACCCCAGACUCGCUGUAGCAGGUCCACCCCCUCGCCCGUCGGCCGCCAACAGUAGGCUCGGGGACCCCGGCCUCCAGGCGGUGGCCCAGCCCCACUCCGGCGGCCUCGACCUGCGCUCCGGCACACGAUGCACUCCGGCUGAAAGGGAAGAUGGCGGGUGGCGGAGUGGGCAACGGAACUGGACAUCGCCAUCUCCUCCUAGUGAGAUCGUAGCGAGAUACGACCCGACAGGAAGGUAGAAGAGGAACAAGAUCGACGAGGAGGACGAAAGCUGUUUUAUUUGUUCGCCCACGGCAACAAUGCUAUCAGAGACUUAAUUAGUUUAUAUAAUCUUCGGGGGGAAAUUGUAUGCCCCGGUGACGACUCCUACCCGGCCCUCCAUUUGCUCGCCCGGCAUCCUCUAUCUCUAAGAACCCGAUGUCUUGCGACCAAAAAAAUCCAACAAGCGUCCUCGCCAUGUGAAGCUCGUUUCCAUCAGAGAGAUCAACUCACACAUGCAGUUUCUCACCUGUAGAAACUUUUCUCAAGUUGUCAGAUAAAGAGCACCGUGGAUGGAUAUAUUAUCAUGUUUGUAUGUAUCUAUACUUCAUAUGGGCACAUGAAAUCUACAUGGCAAGAUUGAACUUCUGCAGUGCAUGUUUACUCGAUGUGAAAAUCUUCUAUGUGCGGGAUUUGAAGGCAGUUGCCACAAGGAUAAGCUAGAGAAGCAGAGAAAACAAGGAGCCAUUGUUCCAUUAUCAACAUGUAGAAACUAAAAAUCAUAUAGAUAUGUUUCACCUAGUUUGCGCAUGUAAUUGUUAAUAGGAGAUGUGUACAAUUGAGUUUGUAAACUACUACUACUCUGAGUAAUACAAUGUUAUUAUCUCGUGCCA